CAGCAGUCGCCGCGGUAAUACAUAGGGUGCGAGCGUUAAUCGGAUUUACUGGGCGUAAAGCGUGCGUAGGCGGCUAAUUGAGUCGGAUGUGAAAUCCCCGAGCUUAACUUGGGAAUUGCAUUCGAUACUGGUUAGCUAGAGUGUGGGAGAGGAUGGUAGAAUUCCAGGUGUAGCGGUGAAAUGCGUAGAGAUCUGGAGGAAUACCGAUGGCGAAGGCAGCCAUCUGGCCUAACACUGACGCUGAGGUACGAAAGCAUGGGGAGCAAACAGGAUUAGAGACCCCGGUAGUCCCUGUCUCUUAUAC
This 304-nucleotide ribosomal RNA is filed under the name uncultured bacterium. Its description in RNAcentral is "partial 16S ribosomal RNA". It matches the Rfam family "Bacterial small subunit ribosomal RNA", at positions 509 to 807 of the family's 1533-position model. The record is from RNAcentral.